UACGAAGGGGGCUAGCGUUGUUCGGAAUUACUGGGCGUAAAGCGCACGUAGGCGGCUUUGUAAGUUAGAGGUGAAAGCCCGGGGCUCAACUCCGGAAUUGCCUUUAAGACUGCAUCGCUUGAAUCCGGGAGAGGUGAGUGGAAUUCCGAGUGUAGAGGUGAAAUUCGUAGAUAUUCGGAAGAACACCAGUGGCGAAGGCGGCUCACUGGACCGGUAUUGACGCUGAGGUGCGAAAGCGUGGGGAGCAAACAGG
Molecule: ribosomal RNA, 253 nt
Filed under: uncultured bacterium
Lineage: Bacteria
Description: partial 16S ribosomal RNA
Rfam family: Bacterial small subunit ribosomal RNA
Source: RNAcentral